UUACGGGUUUGAAACGACAUGGGGGUAAGUGAUUAAUGACAACAUUUUUAUUUUGGGGUGGAGUAACCCUUUAAUAGGCAGCCUGCGGACCACAUCCGGCCCAUGACAGAAAAAUAUUUGGCCUACACUAAUGUUAAAUAAUGUGGCAUGAUAAUACAAACGCAGCAUCAGAAAGCGACAUUAACUUGCAACGUGUCUACACUGGAUGCAAGCUGCGAGACGCAACAAAAUACAAUAGAACCCAUUAUAAUCAGUGAUGCUGUCAAUAUUGGAUGCAGCGCAGUGUGACGAUUCUCCAACAGUAAACUGCUGCCGACAAUAAACUGCUGUAUGUCAGUGGCCCUUGGCUUGGUAAUUCGGACCCCUGCAAAAAUAAAUUGAGGAAGCCUGGUCACAGUGCUUAUCAAGUGAGAGAGAUUUUAUGAGACAGGCCUGUAAAAACAAGUGAAGAAAUAGAGCAGCAAGACACAACCUAGAAUCCAAGACUCUAGAAGCAGUGUGGCCACACUAUAAAAAUCUUAUUUGCUUUGUAAACAUAAUUUCCAGAGAAAAUGAGGGACAUUCCAAAUGUACUGUUGAAAUUCUAACCGGUACCUCUGACUGUUUUGAUUGUAAAGCUUUGUGUAAAGUGUAAAGUACAGUUAAUAAAAUAAUCAUUUACCUUCUGGGUUGACUGAUUAUCCUUCAUUGUAAUUUAAUUUAAAUUUAUAACAGUGCACAACAGCAGACACACUGAUGGGGAUGAACGACUCCUUUGUCUUGCUAUGGGACAUUUUAUAGCUGGCUAUUCAUGGGUAGAACAAUGACAAAUCUACACAUUAGUCAUUAUUAAAUGAUGUAAGUAGGGAAUUAAGUUCUUUUGAAAGGUUUGUGACCUUCAUAACAAAAAGGAAAAAUACAAUCAGAUGUUUUAAACAAAUCAAUUCCUGGGACCUAAAAGUGAUUGUAUAGACUUCUGUAGAUUUCUCUACAUACUUGAAUACAUGCACUUCCACACAGCCAGUUUGUAGUGUCAGUUCUUUCAAGUUCUUUUCCUUUUUCAAGUCUUAAAGACCAGCGGUUUACUCUAUAAACACUUCGGUGUGUUUUCAUUUCUUUAUCAUUACAUCAGAUGUGUGGUUUUGAGAUCCAUCCAGUUCAGAACAAGAUUCCUCAGCAUCUCUAAAGCCUGAAUCCGGAAUUAUUCAAGGCAAAGACAGGUAAGAUAUUUAGUAUAGGUAUAGGUACCUCUGGGUUAAAUACAGACAAACUCAUUUGUCAUCUUCUCCUUCAGGGCUGAGGUGUUGUGUGGACAUGUCUGACCUGCAGAUCAGGAUAACUGCAGAAAUGUUUAAACUGAUGCAGGUUAGCAGAUCUCUAGUCAGAUCCUUCAAUGUGAGAAACCCCAACAGUCCCUGGAGUAUGUGAAAAAUGAAGCACUCAUGCAGCAGAAGUCCAGAAGAACACCCAAACAGCCUCAGAGUUGUGUAAACAUGAAACACAGAAAAGAAGGAAGAAGUAUCUGAAUGAAGUCUGAAUGUGGAUUCAAAUAAACAUCUGGGGAGUGGUCCAGACUCAGUGUCUUUGGCUCUCUAUGAUGGUUUUUACCACCAAAGUGUUGCAAAAGGCUGCGGCUAGUGCUGUGGCCUUCAGAUGGUGACUGUAUCUUAUUGUUCAAGAGUUGAGAGAAAGUAUGUCUACUCUUUCAGUCAAUUUUUUUUUGUGUGUGAAUUAUCUGUUGACAUAUGCCUGUGUGUACAUGCGGACAAAACGUCUUCUGAAAUUCAGAAUGUGUCUAUCGCUCAUGACUGCGGUUGGUAUGUGACAGCCAAGCAAGCAGUUACAAGUAUUUGUCAGUUACUUGAAAAAAUAAUAUUUAAUCAUGUCUGAAUUGGAAUAAAGUCGCCUUUAACUUUAGCUCUGUUCCAAAACCUAUUGACCUAUCUCAAAUAUCAAUCUCCACCUUAUGAUUCUAACAGAGACAAUGUGAGGAGAACAACAUGGUUGUCUUAAAAAGCAUAACUUA
Molecule: long non-coding RNA, 2005 nt
Organism: Carassius auratus (goldfish)
Lineage: Eukaryota; Metazoa; Chordata; Actinopteri; Cypriniformes; Cyprinidae
Exons: 3
Source: RefSeq, a predicted model, not a curated record